GUGGAUUAGAUACCCUAGUAGUCCACGCCCUAAACGAUGAUGACUAGUUGUUGGAGGAGUUAAAUCCUUUAGUAACGCAGCUAACGCGUGAAGUCAUCCGCCUGGGGAGUACGGUCGCAAGAUUAAAACUCAAAGGAAUUGACGGGGGCCCGCACAAGCGGUGGAUGAUGUGGUUUAAUUCGAUGCAACGCGAAAAACCUUACCGACCCUUGACAUGCCAGGGACGCUCCAGAAAUGGGGCGGUGCCCGAAAGGGAACCUGGACACAGG
This 269-nucleotide ribosomal RNA is filed under the name uncultured bacterium. RNAcentral describes it as "partial 16S ribosomal RNA". It matches the Rfam family "Bacterial small subunit ribosomal RNA", at positions 773 to 1038 of the family's 1533-position model. The record is from RNAcentral.